UUCACCGGAGUCACAGUUGAAGAGUGUCGAGUCCUCCUGUCAGGAAGUAUGCAACAAAGCAUGGAUGAAGAAAAGAAGGGCUUGUGGAAGACUCUAAUGGAGAGGUUCUCCUCUAAAACUGAGGAUGUUCCAGAGAAAGCUCCAGAAAAAUAACUUUACCUCUUAAAACACCAUUUCCCCCACUGUUGCUUGUAUAGAAAUAAAGUUUAUACAUAUGUUUGUGAA
Long non-coding RNA from Oryzias melastigma (Indian medaka), 225 nucleotides. RefSeq lists it as uncharacterized. The transcript is spliced from 2 exons. The record is from RefSeq and is a predicted model, not a curated record. NCBI's taxonomy places the organism in Eukaryota, Metazoa, Chordata, Actinopteri, Beloniformes, Adrianichthyidae.